AUGUGGGGCACUGCCCUCCCUGGCUCUGCCUGGGGCCCCAGCCUGCUCUGCUGUGUCACUGUCUUUCUCCUGGGAACAAGUUCAGCAAGUCCCGGGGUCAUCCAGUCUCCAAGACACAUUAUCAAAGCAAAGGGAGGAAGGUCCAUUCUCAAAUGUAUUCCCAUCUCUGGACAUGACACUGUGGGCUGGUACCAGCAGACUCUGGGACAGGAACUGAAGUUUCUCAUUCAGCAUUUUGAAAAAACAGAAAGAGCAAAAGGAAACAUCCCCAACCGAUUCUCAGUGAAGCAGUUCAGUGACUAUCACUCUGAGAUGAACAUGAGCGCCUUGCAGCUGGAGGACUCUGCUCUGUACUUCUGUGCCAGCUCACCACAGCCUCACAGAGUGACUGGCUUUCUGUCCCUUAAUCUUCCUGCUCUUGUUGGUGAUGUACUAAAGAAGGUGGUGAAAUACUACACAGCUGCCUUAACCAAGGUAUAA
This is a non-coding RNA of Microtus oregoni (creeping vole), 480 nucleotides long. NCBI's taxonomy places the organism in Eukaryota, Metazoa, Chordata, Mammalia, Rodentia, Cricetidae. The record is from the annotation of a RefSeq genome assembly.